GCUAAACGCGAAGAACCUUACCUGGCCUUGACAUCCAUGGAAUCCCGAAGAGAUUCGGGAGUGCCGCAAGGAACCAUGAGACAGGUGCUGCAUGGCUGUCGUCAGCUCGUGUCGUGAGAUGUUGGGUUAAGUCCCGCAACGAGCGCAACCCUUGUCCUUAGUUGCCAUCAUUAAGUUGGGAACUCUAAGGAGACCGCCGGUGACAAACCGGAGGAAGGUGGGGAUGACGUCAAGUCAUCAUGGCCUUUAUGGCCAGGGCUACACACGUGCUACAAUGGCAGGUACAGAGGGAAGCCAACCGGCGACGGGGAGCUAAUCCCAGAAAGCCUGUCUUAGUCCGGAUUGCAGUCUGCAACUCGACUGCAUGAAGUUGGAAUCGCUAGUAAUCGCAGAUCAGCAUUGCUGCGGUGAAUACGUUCCCGGGUCUUGUACACACCG
RNAcentral lists this ribosomal RNA (438 nucleotides) under uncultured bacterium. Its description in RNAcentral is "bacterial SSU rRNA". It matches the Rfam family "Bacterial small subunit ribosomal RNA", at positions 954 to 1392 of the family's 1533-position model. The record is from RNAcentral.